GAUGAACGCUGGCGGCGUGCCUAACACAUGCAAGUCGAGCGGACAGACGAUGAGCUUGCGCCUUUGACGUUAGCGGCGGGCGGGUGAGUAACGCGUGGAUCACCUCCCUAUAUGUCUGGGAUAACUACGGAAAACCGGAUCUAAUACCAGAUAAUAUAUUGAACCGCAUGGUUCAAUGGUGAAUGACGGCUUUGCUGUCUCUAAUAGAUGGUUCCGCGCCGCAUUGGCUAGUUGGUAAGGUAACGGCCUACCAAGGCUACGAUGCGUAGCCGAGCGGAGAGGGUGAUCGGCCACACUGGAACUGAGACACGGUCCAGACUCCUACGGGAGGCAGCAGUCGGGAAUAUUACGCAAUGGGCGAAAGCCUGACGCAGCAACGCCGCGUGAGUGAUGAAGGCCUUCGGAUCGUAAAACCCUGUUAUUGGGGAAGAACAGCUGUGGAAGUAAACAUGCACGUCUUGACGGUACCUAAUCAAAAAGCACCGGCUAACUACGUG
RNAcentral lists this ribosomal RNA (497 nucleotides) under uncultured bacterium. RNAcentral's name for it is "partial 16S ribosomal RNA". It matches the Rfam family "Bacterial small subunit ribosomal RNA", at positions 28 to 507 of the family's 1533-position model. The record is from RNAcentral.